Long non-coding RNA from Lolium rigidum, 3094 nucleotides. RefSeq lists it as uncharacterized. The transcript is spliced from 4 exons. NCBI's taxonomy places the organism in Eukaryota, Viridiplantae, Streptophyta, Magnoliopsida, Poales, Poaceae. The record is from RefSeq and is a predicted model, not a curated record.
CGACCUCCUCCGGGUCGUACGAGCAAGGACGCCCGCGCCUGCAGUGUUCUUGCCGCGUGCCUGCGGCGAGAUUCACCUCUAAUAAGGAAGCAAGCAGAGGCAGGAGUUUCUUCAAGUGUAGAUCAGAUUCGUGUUACACUUGGAUCUGGGAGGAACGGCUCAUGGACUUUGUCAAUGCUUUUAUAAGGAUGAGCACAGCCGCCUUGCAGGGGGAGAUGCGAGUUUCCAGGACCGAAUCGAAGUGGAGGAUCCAACUGCUGGAGCACAAGUUGGAAGUCGCCCGGCGUGAGUUGGCCGACGCCAUUGGUGAGAGGGAUGGUUUGAAUGCAGUUGCUGCUAGAUUAGCUAGUCAAAUUAAGUCAAGAGACCGGAGCAUUGCUAGAUAUAGAUUUGCGUUUUUUAUAUUCAUGCUCUGCAUGAUUUUUAGAUGGGUUUUUUAGCUGCAGCGGUGCAUUUUCAGAUUCUUUCAUCUCUAUAUGAUCAUCAUAGAGCGUGGGCUGAUGCGUUGUCAAGGUGCAUAGAGGGAGAUUUGAUGUUCCGGGGUGUGUGUGGUUUUGAGUAGUGCUUAAGGAGUUGAUCAGUUGAACAAGAGCGUGCAAGUAUUUAACCAUGAGGUCCCAAUAAUUUUUUUUGUUGUAAAUGGUGCCAUCCAAGAUCAGAACGGUGGCAGUCCAUCAUAUGUUCUAGACGCAACAACCCCGCGCCGGCAUAGUCGGAUGAACUCGUUGUUUCCGUCAGUUAUGUGGAUAGUGUUUUUUUGGGCUAAAGCCUUUUUUUGUAUGGAGUAACAGACCUGUGCUUAACACUCUAGCUUUAGAACUUAAGUUAUCUACAGAUUUAUGGUACUCCUUAUGUUUUGUAUAACGAGUGCUCACCAUGUAGUCAACAGUAGAGUGGUGCUUCAGUGCUUUUGAUUGCUGUAUUUGUUGUUUCAAGCCCCUAGCUGAAGUUCAGUUCUGGUGACGAAGUGAGUAAAUGAAUUGCUGAUAUUUGGAUUCAUCCACGCAUUGAUUGGUUGCUUCUUCUUGCAAUAUUAUGUGGCACUAACAAAAGCACUGCAUUCUAUUUAUAUAGAAUAUGAAGUUAUUAGCUCCAAUCCAUGCAUGAAUGUACAACACAACUGUACAACUGCAUGGAACGAUAGUCUGGAAGGACAAUAAUCUUCUAGGCAGUGGUGGUCCUGAUAGACAUUAGUUAGCUGCACUUUGCUUCCAUUCAAGCAGAAGUGAUUGAAACACUAGAUAUGUAAUGCAUUAACUGAACUUCUAUGCAUUAGUUUUGUUUGGUCGGAUGGUUUUCUUUUGUAUUGCCAGAUGGAAUACCGUGUACUGCUACCAUUGGUUAUGUAGGUCAUGUAUGCUAAUCUAUAUACGAAAAUUGAUCAUUGUUAGGUUCAAAAUGGCAGGAUACUUCUUUUUGUUUCACAAAUAUAGGUAGUAUAUUGAAUCGUGCAAAUGUCUGAUUUUUUUCGAGACCAUAAGAAUGGUGUUGCCUUCUUAACAUACUAGAAUACUCAGAAAUUCUUGCAAGGUCUUGUUGAAAUAACGCCUUCAUACACUUAUUUGCAGUUUUCUUCAUUCUGGUUUUCGCAAUUCAGUAAUGAGCAUCUUAUAGCCUGUUGCCUUGGAUUUAUUUAGUUUAUCAAUUGGGUGCUUAGCAAAUUUCUCUGAGGUACUGAAUCAUUAGUGUUCAGUAGAUAUUAGAUACAUAGCAUCUGUUGGGCAAUGGCCGGGCCAGGGCUGCAACCUGUGUUUAAACUUUCCAUUGUUUUCUUCUUUGCUUAUGCAUUGCUCUUAUCCGUGGCCCUUCCUAUAAAGUACACACGAUGGCCUCCUUCUAGGUAAAUUAUUUUAUCAUCCAUGGUACGCGGACCUACUUCUAGUCGUUGGAUGUGGCCUUGAUUCUAGUUUCCUGCAUUUUCUGGCAAGUUCUGAAUCAUUGGUUUUUUUAGUACUGAAUCAUUGGCUUAAUUAACUCCGGGUGCUUAAUGGGUUAAGGUGCGGUGCCGAUUACUUAGUUUGACCUUGGACUUGCGAACACCGGGCAUGCCGUUUUGUAAAUAUCUUGAUUCUUUUAGUUACCAGUUUGCUUUAAGAUUCAGUGCUUAUAUCUUAUUUUUCUUUAAGAGAUUGCCUUCUCUUUGUGUUUUUCUUCAAUUGUUUUUCUUAACCAUGCUCAACCUAGUGCCUAACGAGGCCUGGUGCAUUGAGGCUUGCGACUCUCGAUCUUCCUCUUAAUGUCCAUGGUGAGUGCUUAAUGAGGCAUGGUGUGGCGCUGAAUGGAAUCAAGUCCUGGACUGUCGAUCUUCUCUUUUUAGGUACUUAGCAGAUUGAACAGGGGUACUGGAUGCACUAAAGAGUUGACUCCUGACUUGUACACCUCACUAUGGUGACUUGUACACCUCAUAUGGGUGCUUAACAAGCUUCUUUGAGAUGCUGAAUCGUGUGGUGCUUACCAAGUUGCUCCCAGGUGCUGAAUCGCAUGGGUUCUUAACAAGAUUCUGGGGGGUGCUGAAUCAAUCAUGAUUGGCUGUGCAGUGUUGUUCCUGAGAUGUGGGUAAUUAGCUUAAAGACUAACUGUAUAUAUUGAAUAAUUUUCUCUGAAGUGCUGAAUCAUAUGGGGUGCUUAACAAGAUUCUCCGAGGUGCUGAAUCAUAUGGGUGCUUACCAAGUUUCUCUGAGGUGCUGAAUCAUUUGGUGUCAACUGUGGCAGGUACUGAAUCAUUUCUUAAUUAAUGCCAAUGAAGCUAACUGCUUAACGAUGCCUGGUGAGGUGUUGAAUGUCCUUGUACAUUCUUGGGUGCUUGACAAGUUAUUUCCAAGUGCUGAAUGGAUGGGGUAACAAAUUUCUUUGAGGUAUCGAAUCAUAUGACAUGCUUAAGAAGUUGGUUUUAGUACUAAAUGGUGGCUACUCGUUAAUUUGCUAGUACUAAAUGGAAUGCUUUACUAGGUGCUUAACAAGAUGCUCUGAGGUGCUGAAUCAUAUUUCUUCUAGUACUUAAUGACCUGUACAAGAUGCUCUGAGGUGCUGAAUCAUUGAUCUUCUAGUACUUAAUGACAUGUACAAGACAAAUGGAAUAUAACCAUUUCAACUA